RNAcentral lists this unclassified non-coding RNA (219 nucleotides) under uncultured Basidiomycota. RNAcentral's name for it is "sequence contains ITS2". The record is from RNAcentral. Lineage: Eukaryota; Fungi; Basidiomycota.
AAUUAUCAACGCGACCGCUUUGCGAAAAGCGGUCUGCGCUUGGACUUUGGAGCGUGUGCGGGUCUCUUGCGAGAUCCGCUCCUCUUGAAAUGCAUUAGCGGUUUGCCCAUUCGCAGAUCUUGCUCCGGCGUGAUAACUAUCUACGUCGCCGCGGAAAUGCCCCUAUCCGGCGCAGCUGCUCCUAAUCGUCGCUCCUUGCGACAAAAAACCCCUAUGACG